This 741-nucleotide ribosomal RNA is filed under the name Rothia mucilaginosa. RNAcentral describes it as "bacterial SSU rRNA". It matches the Rfam family "Bacterial small subunit ribosomal RNA", at positions 28 to 776 of the family's 1533-position model. Lineage: Bacteria; Bacillati; Actinomycetota; Actinomycetes; Micrococcales; Micrococcaceae. The record is from RNAcentral.
GACGAACGCUGGCGGCGUGCUUAACACAUGCAAGUCGAACGAUGAAGCCUAGCUUGCUAGGUGGAUUAGUGGCGAACGGGUGAGUAAUACGUGAGUAACCUACCUUUAACUCUGGGAUAAGCCUGGGAAACUGGGUCUAAUACCGGAUACGACCAAUCUCCGCAUGGGGUGUUGGUGGAAAGCGUUAUGUAAUGGUUAUAGAUGGGCUCACGGCCUAUCAGCUUGUUGGUGAGGUAACGGCUCACCAAGGCGACGACGGGUAGCCGGCCUGAGAGGGUGACCGGCCACACUGGGACUGAGACACGGCCCAGACUCCUACGGGAGGCAGCAGUGGGGAAUAUUGCACAAUGGGCGCAAGCCUGAUGCAGCGACGCCGCGUGAGGGAUGACGGCCUUCGGGUUGUAAACCUCUGUUAGCAGGGAAGAAGAGAAAUUGACGGUACCUGCAGAGAAAGCGCCGGCUAACUACGUGCCAGCAGCCGCGGUAAUACGUAGGGCGCGAGCGUUGUCCGGAAUUAUUGGGCGUAAAGAGCUUGUAGGCGGUUUGUCGCGUCUGCUGUGAAAGGCCGGGGCUUAACCCCGUGUAUUGCAGUGGGUACGGGCAGACUAGAGUGCAGUAGGGGAGACUGGAACUCCUGGUGUAGCGGUGGAAUGCGCAGAUAUCAGGAAGAACACCGAUGGCGAAGGCAGGUCUCUGGGCUGUAACUGACGCUGAGAAGCGAAAGCAUGGGGAGCGAACAGG